AAUGCCCAUCGCUAAACCCAAACCCAAUUCCCAACUGUAACUUUACUCCGAUCAAAUCAUUGGGUUCAGGAUGAUGAUCUAAUCACCAUUACUAAAAACCUCUGAAACCCUUAGCAAUGGGAGUAGUAAUCGAAUCCGAAUUCUGGGAACCAAACCAAUCAAUAUGCAUUUUCUUAUUCAUCUUCUGCGUCUUGUCAAUCUUCCUUUUGCCCACUAAAUCCGCCGCGAAUGUCUUGGAUCACGCGCCUCACGGCGCGUUUCUUCGUUUCCAGCGGAAGUUUCUCCUCCUCUACGCUCUUUCCUCAGUGAUGAAGGGUUUGUGGGCUGUGUUUGGAGAGUAAAGAGCAAAUGGUUACGUUUUUAUUGGUUGGAUAUGCGGCUUCUCUAUCAAUUGGGAGCUUUCUUGGAAUGAUUUCUGAUUUAGUAGGUCAUAAGAAACUUUGCUUGUUGUUUUACUUGCUACACCUGUUCGUGAGCAUAUCGAAGAUAGUUAUUGGAACUCCGACUAUUUGUUUUACAAGCAUCUUUCUUGCACUGGCUUCUUCUAUAUUUUCCUUUAAGUUUCGAGUCGUGGAUGGUAAUCGAGUACGACAAGCUAGGUCAACGGCAAGAUUCACUGAACGAUAUGUUUUGGCUGAUGACUUUCUUCGAGUCUGCAUCUUUCAUUAGCAGCCAGGUUCUUGCGAAUUAUUUCGUUGAUGGUAAUGUGUUCAAAAACGUUAAAUCUGUGUGGAGUGGAGCUUCGGUUCUGGCAUUUGUAGGUAUUUUGUUUGUUACUCGAGGUGGGAAAGAAGCCCGACAAACAGCAUCUGUGAAGGAUCAUCACAUUUCAUUGCAUAGACAUGCUACUAGUGGUAUGUGUUUCAUUAUGUUAAUAUAUGCAAAAAAACGAGUAUUCGUUCGAAGCUCUUCAACUUGUUUAGAAAGUCUUGAAUACGCAGGAAAAAAAACGAGAACAAUUUUUUCGCCUGAUUUUCCCCCCUCUAUCGUAUGCAUCUAUGAGUCUUUUACCGUUAUGCA
Erythranthe guttata (spotted monkey flower) is the source of this 1020-nucleotide RNA transcript. RefSeq lists it as uncharacterized. NCBI's taxonomy places the organism in Eukaryota, Viridiplantae, Streptophyta, Magnoliopsida, Lamiales, Phrymaceae. The record is from RefSeq and is a predicted model, not a curated record.